Molecule: long non-coding RNA, 809 nt
Organism: Daphnia pulex (common water flea)
Lineage: Eukaryota; Metazoa; Arthropoda; Branchiopoda; Diplostraca; Daphniidae
Exons: 4
Source: RefSeq, a predicted model, not a curated record
AUCAGUCAGUCAUGACACAGACAUGACAUUACAUUUCACGUCGUUACUUUCAUAAGUUACUUAAAUAGUUUAACAACAGAGAUUGGAUAACAAGUUAACUGUUUUUACAUAAUUUCAGCCGAAGUUUUCAUGUACCUGGCCAACUAGGUGCUCAUGACAUUAGAAAUGAAAUGGUCUAAUCUAAUAAUGCAAGCUCACAACCUGUCUUCUGAAGCAAAAUAAUUUUUGUUGCAAGUUGUAGAUCUUCAAGAUAUUUAUGCCUUCGCCAGAUCCAAUUCUUUGCUGCUAUCUAUUUUGGGUACAACAGCGAGAAAAUGCUGCUACUCAAGAUUAUGUGGUGUUCUUAGUUCUAAUUUAGGACAAUGUAAGAUUGAUUGAUUUGAGGUUAAUCCCUCUCCACUGUUCUGCCAGGAGGAGGGGAGGGCUCUGGUCGAACGGGGACUUGGAAGUCCCCUGAUCUGAUGAAAACUUUUGGAUGGUCAUGAGUCUAACCCGGAAGCCUAGUAUGACUAUAUCUCUCCAGUAAAACUGGCCUCGUACUUCUCUCUUCUUCUCGGACCAGAUACUAUCUCUGGUGGCCGUCGACAAUUCCAACUGCAUGUGCGAGUUUUAACAAAGCAAUGCGCAGCCCAGAGACAAAAAGCGAUGUUUAAUUUUUGUCGAAUUAGAAAUUUUUUAAAAAAUUAGUUCUGGAAUAAGUAUAAUUUUUAACGUAUAAUUGACAAAGAUUUCAGCAAAAAUAAAAUAUUGCUUUUUGUGUCGUUGUGUACUCUUGCUCAAAAUCGCACAAAAAAGACAAUCGAUUUGAA